Molecule: ribosomal RNA, 253 nt
Filed under: uncultured bacterium
Lineage: Bacteria
Description: partial 16S ribosomal RNA
Rfam family: Bacterial small subunit ribosomal RNA
Source: RNAcentral
UACAGAGGGGGCAAGCGUUGUUCGGAAUUACUGGGCGUAAAGGGCGCGUAGGCGGCCUUCUAAGUCGAACGUGAAAUCCCCGGGCUCAACCCGGGAACUGCGUCCGAUACUGGAAGGCUUGAAUCCGGGAGAGGGAUGCGGAAUUCCAGGUGUAGCGGUGAAAUGCGUAGAUAUCAGGAGGAACACCGAUGGCGAAGGCAGCUCGCUGGGACGGUACUGACGCUGAGGCGCGAAAGCGUGGGGAGCGAACAGG